Long non-coding RNA from Haliotis rubra (blacklip abalone), 672 nucleotides. RefSeq lists it as uncharacterized. The transcript is spliced from 2 exons. NCBI's taxonomy places the organism in Eukaryota, Metazoa, Mollusca, Gastropoda, Lepetellida, Haliotidae. The record is from RefSeq and is a predicted model, not a curated record.
UCAUUGGCAGUCCAUUGUCUCGUGUGCAAGCGACAAGAGGCGGCCGGUUCAAAACGCACACGUUCAAUAUUUCAUUGCGUGCUCAUACAAAGACGGCGCAUCCUCAUUAUCAUUGUAUUAGGCUGAAUAAAACGAUGAUAAGAGAGAAGUCGGCAGGAUCGUCCCGUCAUUUUACAGCAUGCAACCCUCCAAACAGGUCGGGCUUCUGACAUUCGGAAUCGGCGAAGCUUGGCGGAAGGAGUGCGGUUCAUUCAUCCUUGAUACCAUCAUUGCCAGCAGCAGCAGCAACAGCCUGUAGCUCCACGUCCCACGGCAGAUGGUAAAGGAUGGACAAGGACGAAGCUGAUUGACCUCCAUGUUGAAAUAUUGGGUGUCCACAUUCAUUUGGCACUUGUGGAAUAAUCGCUUUAUACCAUGUCGAUUAUACACCGGUGCCAAAUAACGGAUGACGCCAAACGCUGCGGAACUAGAGAAUCUGGAAACCCAGACAAUGACAGAGGAAGGGGAGAUAAUCAACAGAAAAGACUGAAGAGAAUCGGGAAUCAUAUUUUACCAAAGUCAAGAAGGUACAUACUGGAACCAAAUGCCUGUUUCAGCUGAUUUUCUUCACUUUAUGAGAAGACGGUACAUUAACUGACAUUGUAUGAUAUGGAUUAAAAACAUGUGGCACUA